GUGCUCACCUUCACACCACAUAUACUAAAAUUGGAACAAUACAGAGAUUAGCGUGGCCCCUGCACAAGGAUGACACACAAAUUUAUGAAGCAUUUCAUAUUAAA
This is a small nuclear RNA of Mirounga angustirostris (Northern elephant seal), 104 nucleotides long. Lineage: Eukaryota; Metazoa; Chordata; Mammalia; Carnivora; Phocidae. The record is from RefSeq and is a predicted model, not a curated record.